UACAGAGGGUGCGAGCGUUAAUCGGAAUUACUGGGCGUAAAGGGCGCGUAGGCGGUGUGUCAAGUCAGGCGUGAAAGCCCCGGGCUCAACCUGGGAACUGCGCUUGAGACUGGCACGCUCGAGUUCGGGAGAGGAUGGUGGAAUUCCCAGUGUAGAGGUGAAAUUCGUAGAUAUUGGGAAGAACACCGAUGGCGAAGGCAGCCAUCUGGACCGACACUGACGCUGAGGCGCGAAAGCGUGGGGAGCAAACAGG
RNAcentral lists this ribosomal RNA (253 nucleotides) under uncultured bacterium. RNAcentral describes it as "partial 16S ribosomal RNA". It matches the Rfam family "Bacterial small subunit ribosomal RNA", at positions 524 to 776 of the family's 1533-position model. The record is from RNAcentral.